Bos taurus (domestic cattle) is the source of this 1918-nucleotide long non-coding RNA. The record is from Ensembl. Lineage: Eukaryota; Metazoa; Chordata; Mammalia; Artiodactyla; Bovidae.
CUAAAAUUGAGAGCACUGACCAUCAAGAGGAUAGGCGGCUUCCUGAGCCCUGGACAUCCCCUUGCUCAUCCAGACUUUGGACUGACCCUGACCAGCUUUGCCCUUGCCCAGGAAAACUUGAAUUAAAUUAGAGUUGGAGUUUGAGAAAUAGUUUAUAGGCUUAUUUUCAAGUUUCUUUAAGGGUCAUCUUAAGAAUCCAGAGACCACCAUUUGCCAGAUACUUCACCAACUGAACUACCAGGGAAGCCCAAGAGUUCAACAAUCUGUUACCUCAGUAACAGCUCAGGACGACAGUGAGAGGAGUGUCCCAAGGAUAUCUUGAGUGAUUAUUGCAGUAAGUUCAGUUGAAGGUCUGAGGAGGUGGGUAUUGAAGAGGUCAGAGGUGGCAAGCGAAGGUAGGUCUAAACCUGCUUACAAAGAUGAAAUGUUACCCUGAAUCCUGUCUCUGGUUACAUCUGCAAGGUUUCAGUUUCCCUAGACACUGCUUCAGCCCUCUGUCCCCAGAUCACCCUGGUGGUAUUUGAAUUGUCAAUUUCCAGCCUCUCCCCCUAUUCCCCGUGCGAUGGGGCUAGAAUUCACAUUCACUUACAGUGCAGGUGUGAAUAGAAAUGUGAACAGUUUCACAGAGGAACCUGGCAAUGGCAGGGCCCAACUGGUAGAGAUAAGGAUCUGAUGGGGUUCUGUAGGCACUGGCACAGUCCUGUGGGAGAGAUAGCAUGAUGGUGGAUGUUUAUAUUGAUGCUACCACACUUUAUAUUUUUUUUCCAUUUAUAAAUUUGUUUUUAUUGCCACCAGGGAACUCCCAACUAUCAGUUCAAUUCAGCCACUCAGUCAUGUCUGACUCUUUGCGACCCCAUGAACCACAGCACGCCAGGCCUCCCUGUCCAUCACCAACUCCCAGAGUCCACCCAAACCCAUGUCCAUCGAGUUGGUGAUGCCAUCCAACCAUCUCAUCCUCUGUCGUCCCCUUCUCCUCCUGCCCUCAAUCUUUCCCAGUAUCAGGGUGUUUUCAAAUGAGUCAACUCUUUGCAUCAGGUGGCCAAAGUAUUGGAGUUUCAGCUUCAACAUCAAUCCUUCCAAUGAAUACCCAGGACUGAUCUCCUUUAAUAAAAACCACAGAGUAUUCUCAGAAAUAAAAGCUUCAAGAAGGAAUGCUUAGGUUACAGAAUUCUGAUUGUCAAGCAUUCUUAUUCUCAAGAUUUUAUAUACAACCCUUCUCAAAGUGUCAAUCACCUCAAUGAGACUAAAAGUCAGUUCUGACUUGCAAGGAACAAAAGAUGAACUCUGCUAGGGCUUGAUUUACCUGUUUCUUCAGACUCCUCUAUUUGCUUUCGCUACCCACCUCUCUCACUGGACCUAGUCCCCACUAACAUUGCAUGUAGUCUCACCCUGAAACAGAGGCUGUUAUUUGUUGGCAGGUUGUAUCAUGUCCCUGAUAAGCCUGAUGGUUGUUUCAGUUAGCUAAUGCUGCAUAAUAUAUCACCCCCAAACUUAGGGGCAUAAAACAUUUUUUUAUUCUCAGAUUCUAUGAGCUAUGAAUUCAAAAGGGGGCACAGCCAGAAAGCUCUGCUCUGCUCUGUGACGUCUGGGGCCUUAGCUGGGAUGACUCGAAUGCCUAAGAAUGACUCAAAUGGCUGAGGGCUGUGACAAGCUGGGCUGGAGAAUUCACUUGCAGGAUGAUUUCUCAUGUGUCUGGCCUCUUGGCUGAGAUGGCUGGAAAGCUGGACGCAGCUGGCACUGUCUACCAGAGUGCCUACACCUGGCCUCUCCAGCAUGGCAUUUCUGUGCUGAAUAACAGUUAUUCAGGGACUGAGUAACUGGAAAAUGAUGCUAUGAGGAAAUAGACAAAUUCAGAAUAUGAGACUCUCCACAUUGGCUUCUUGCCUUAGCAAGUCAGUGUCAUGGGGGUCGGGGGAGG